RNAcentral lists this ribosomal RNA (412 nucleotides) under Halomonas sp. RNAcentral describes it as "bacterial SSU rRNA". It matches the Rfam family "Bacterial small subunit ribosomal RNA", at positions 505 to 916 of the family's 1533-position model. The record is from RNAcentral. Lineage: Bacteria; Pseudomonadati; Pseudomonadota; Gammaproteobacteria; Oceanospirillales; Halomonadaceae.
GUGCCAGCAGCCGCGGUAAUACGGAGGGUGCAAGCGUUAAUCGGAAUUACUGGGCGUAAAGCGCGCGUAGGUGGCUUGAUAAGCCGGUUGUGAAAGCCCCGGGCUCAACCUGGGAACGGCAUCCGGAACUGUCAGGCUAGAGUGCAGGAGAGGAAGGUAGAAUUCCCGGUGUAGCGGUGAAAUGCGUAGAGAUCGGGAGGAAUACCAGUGGCGAAGGCGGCCUUCUGGACUGACACUGACACUGAGGUGCGAAAGCGUGUGUAGCAAACAGGAUUAGAUACCCUGGUAGUCCACGCCGUAAACGAUGUCUACCAGCCGUUGGGUGCCUAGAGCACUUUGUGGCGAAGUUAACGCGAUAAGUCGACCGUCUGGGGAGUACGGCCGCAACGUUAAAACUCAAAUGAAUUGACGG